RNAcentral lists this ribosomal RNA (235 nucleotides) under uncultured bacterium. RNAcentral describes it as "partial 16S ribosomal RNA". It matches the Rfam family "Bacterial small subunit ribosomal RNA", at positions 96 to 334 of the family's 1533-position model. The record is from RNAcentral.
UGGCGGACGGGGGAGUAAUGUCUGGGAAACUGCCUGAUGGGAGGGGGUAACUACUGGAAACGGUAGCUAAUACCGCAUAACGUCGCAAGACCAAAGAGGGGGACCUUCGGGCCUCUUGCCAUCGGAUGUGCCCAGAUGGGAUUAGCUAGUAGGUGGGGUAACGGCUCACCUAGGCGACGAUCCCUAGCUGGUCUGAGAGGAUGACCAGCCACACUGGAACUGAGACACGGUCCAG